UCGUGGCCCUUACGGGUUGGGCUACACACGUGCUACAAUGGCAUCAACAAUGGGUUAAUCCCUAAAAGAUGUCUCAGUUCGGAUUGGGGUCUGCAACUCGACCCCAUGAAGUCGGAAUCGCUAGUAAUCGCGUAACAGCAUGACGCGGUGAAUACGUUCCCGGGCCUUGUACACACCGCCCGU
This 183-nucleotide ribosomal RNA is filed under the name uncultured Alphaproteobacteria bacterium. Its description in RNAcentral is "partial 16S ribosomal RNA". It matches the Rfam family "Bacterial small subunit ribosomal RNA", at positions 1193 to 1397 of the family's 1533-position model. Lineage: Bacteria; Pseudomonadati; Pseudomonadota; Alphaproteobacteria. The record is from RNAcentral.